GUGUAUGGCCAUACCACUGAAUUCGCCCAAUCUCAUCUGGUCUUAGAAGCUAAGCAGGGUUGGGCCUGAUUAGUACUUGGAUGGGAGACAGAUCUUCAGAAAAGACUGCUCAGAGACAAACAGU
This 124-nucleotide ribosomal RNA is filed under the name Castor canadensis (American beaver). Lineage: Eukaryota; Metazoa; Chordata; Mammalia; Rodentia; Castoridae. The record is from RNAcentral.